CCCUUAGAUGUCCGGGGCUGCACGCGCGCUACACUGAAGGAAUCAGCGUGCUAGAAAACCUUGUUUGACAUGGCUAGGUAACCCGUUGAAAAUCUUUCGUGAUUGGGAUCGGGACUUGCAAAUGUGUCCCUUGAACGAGGAAUUCCCAGUAAGUGCGGGUCAUAAGCUCGCGCUGAUUACGUCCCUGCCCUUUGUACACACCGCCCGUCGCUGCCCGGAACUGAGCCGUUUCGAGAAGACUGGGGACUGCGAACUUUGGGCUGGAAAACAGCUUUUUGUUUGUGGAAACCACUUUAAUCGCAGCGGCUUGAACCGGGCAAAAGUCGUAACG
RNAcentral lists this ribosomal RNA (331 nucleotides) under uncultured eukaryote. Its description in RNAcentral is "partial 18S ribosomal RNA". It matches the Rfam family "Eukaryotic small subunit ribosomal RNA", at positions 1470 to 1796 of the family's 1831-position model. The record is from RNAcentral.